AGCCUGGUUAGCUCAAUCGGUAGAGCAUUUGACUCUUAAUCACUAUAAGGUCAAUCAAAAGGUUGCGGGUUCGAGCCCCGCAUCGGGCUU
This 90-nucleotide transfer RNA is filed under the name Candidozyma auris. RNAcentral describes it as "[Candida] auris tRNA-Lys". It matches the Rfam family "tRNA". From Rfam's summary of the family: Transfer RNA (tRNA) molecules are approximately 80 nucleotides in length. Their secondary structure includes four short double-helical elements and three loops (D, anti-codon, and T loops). Further hydrogen bonds mediate the characteristic L-shaped molecular structure. tRNAs have two regions of fundamental functional importance: the anti-codon, which is responsible for specific mRNA codon recognition, and the 3' end, to which the tRNAs corresponding amino acid is attached (by aminoacyl-tRNA synthetases). tRNAs cope with the degeneracy of the genetic code in two manners: having more than one tRNA (with a specific anti-codon) for a particular amino acid; and 'wobble' base-pairing, i.e. permitting non-standard base-pairing at the 3rd anti-codon position. Lineage: Eukaryota; Fungi; Ascomycota; Pichiomycetes; Serinales; Metschnikowiaceae. The record is from RNAcentral.